This is a non-coding RNA of Paramuricea clavata, 618 nucleotides long. The record is from the annotation of a GenBank genome assembly. Lineage: Eukaryota; Metazoa; Cnidaria; Anthozoa; Malacalcyonacea; Plexauridae.
CUGCGUCCGAAAACGUUGGGUAUAUUUCUUAAAUAUUAUUAAGAUAUUAGACAUUUAUAUGUUAUUAUUAACGUAAACCAGACACUUCCCAUGCAGUUUCUGCUCUAAUCCCCCAGUUAUACCAAGUACGAUAUUACAUGACUACCAACACAUUACAACAAGCUUCUUAAAGAAUUAUUUUACACGUGCUUGCUAUUUUGAAUCUAAGUCUGGUUUCCAUUUUAAGCUGGAUUUCCACUUGCAAGAAAAAUUGAAUUGUGAGCGGUCAAAUAUAGAACGGAUUUAUUCGGAUGGUUACGAUUCAAAAGAAAUCAAGCGAAAUAUUUCUCUGUAAGUGCAUGGAAAUCCACCCUUUGUCGUUACGGCCGUGAACACAUCUCUGCAGUGUAUGAAGUGAUAAUUCACAUACAGCAAACAAGAUAAAUUCAGACUUUCACAUCGUCGAACAGGACUUGAUCACGACAGUUACGACCAAAUGAAAACCAGGCUUUAAACUGGUUAUUCCAAAUUUGUUUGUUCAAUAUAAUAAUUAUUUAUCUCGCCACCAACACCAUAUAUUAGAGAGGUUCAGAUUUGACUUCCACUACCUCUCACUGGCUCAGUACGCGUCUGAUUGGU